RNAcentral lists this ribosomal RNA (497 nucleotides) under uncultured bacterium. RNAcentral's name for it is "bacterial SSU rRNA". It matches the Rfam family "Bacterial small subunit ribosomal RNA", at positions 899 to 1397 of the family's 1533-position model. The record is from RNAcentral.
ACUCAAAUGAAUUGACGGGGGCCCGCACAAGCGGCGGAGCAUGUUGCUUAAUUCGACGCAACGCGAAGAACCUUACCAAGGCUUGACAUGGCCUCAAAAGCCGCAGAGAUGCGGUGUCCGCAAGGGGGGGUCACAGGUGGUGCAUGGCUGUCGUCAGCUCGUGUCGUGAGAUGUUGGGUUAAGUCCCGCAACGAGCGCAACCCUCGUCCUAUGUUGCCAGCGGGUAAUGCCGGGGACUCAUGGGAGACUGCCGGGGUCAACUCGGAGGAAGGUGGGGAUGACGUCAAGUCAUCAUGCCCCUUAUGUCUUGGGCUGCAAACAUGCUACAAUGGCCGGUACAGAGGGCUGCGAUGCCGUGAGGCGGAGCGAAUCCCGGAAAGCCGGCCUCAGUUCGGAUCGGGGUCUGCAACUCGACCCCGUGAAGUCGGAGUCGCUAGUAAUCGCGAAUCAGCAACGUCGCGGUGAAUACGUUCCCGGGCCUUGUACACACCGCCCGU